This 253-nucleotide ribosomal RNA is filed under the name uncultured bacterium. RNAcentral describes it as "partial 16S ribosomal RNA". It matches the Rfam family "Bacterial small subunit ribosomal RNA", at positions 524 to 776 of the family's 1533-position model. The record is from RNAcentral.
UACGGGGGGGGCAAGCGUUGUUCGGAAUUACUGGGCGUAAAGGGCUCGUAGGCGGCCAACUAAGUCGGAUGUGAAAUCCCCAGGCUUAACCUGGGAACUGCAUCCGAUACUGGAUGGCUUGAAUCCGGGAGAGGGAUGCAGAAUUCCAGGUGUAGCGGUGAAAUGCGUAGAUAUCUGGAGGAAUACCGGUGGCGAAGGCGGCAUCCUGGACCAAUUCUGACGCUGAGGAGCGAAAGCCAGGGGAGCAAACGGG